UAAAAAGGCAACUUCAGACAUUAUAGUC
This 28-nucleotide small RNA is filed under the name Bombyx mori (domestic silkworm). RNAcentral's name for it is "ovarian small RNA-18004". The record is from RNAcentral. Lineage: Eukaryota; Metazoa; Arthropoda; Insecta; Lepidoptera; Bombycidae.